RNAcentral lists this ribosomal RNA (408 nucleotides) under Althepus sp. 170 FL-2018. Its description in RNAcentral is "partial 16S ribosomal RNA". It matches the Rfam family "Bacterial large subunit ribosomal RNA", at positions 1858 to 2601 of the family's 2925-position model. Lineage: Eukaryota; Metazoa; Arthropoda; Arachnida; Araneae; Ochyroceratidae. The record is from RNAcentral.
CCUGCUCAAUGAGUAAUUAAAUAGCCGCUAUUUAGUGCUAAGGUAGCAUAAUCACUUGUCUUUUAAUUAAAGAAUAGAAUGAAUGGACAAACGAGUUAAAAACUUUAUUUAAAUUAUUUUACUAAACUUAUAUAAAAGUUAAAAAGCUUUUAUUUCCAGAUUAGACGACAAGACCCUUUAGAACUUUACUUUAAGUUAAGCUGGGGUGGCUAUAAAAUAAUUAUAAAAACUAAUAUACUUUAAACAAAUAUCACAACAAAAAUAUAACAAGUUACCUAAGGGAUAACAGUAUAAUAUUAUUUUAAAGUACUUAUAAUAAAUAAUGUUUAUAACCUCGAUGUUGAAUUACUUAACUCUCAAAAGAAAAUUUUUCAAAAGUAAGUCUGUUCGACUUUUAAUAAAGUACAU